CAUCAUCAGGCAAACAAAACAUUUUUUAAUAAAAAUGACAAAAGAACCUUGAAUAUAUCAUGUUAAGAAUAUUGCUAUAGUUACAGUAAACAAAAAAUAAACAAAAUAAAUAUUAAAAUAAACUAAAAUUAAAAUAAAAUAAAUAUUCAAAAAUGGUAAUAAACGUGUAUUAUCAGGCAUCAUUUUCCCUGUCUAACCUACUUAUCGUAUUUCUAUGGUCUAUCAUUAUGUUUGCACCAUCCCAUGUUUUUCAUGCAUUAGCUGAUUCCUUAAAUAGAUACUUUCAUGGCAAUGGUAACUCUAGUGCUGGCCUAUCAUUAAUUAGAUUUUCUUGUUUUUGCUUUCUUAAAAUCUCAAUAGUCUCCUCAAUUAUGGCCUGGGAUUUAAUAGCGAGUGGUUUAAUUAUUUUGGCUUGAUCCCAUUCUACUUUAAUGUCAUUAUGGUAUGCCUUUACUCCCAGAGCUGUGUUUAGUUUUCCUGCUGCAAUGUUUUUUUA
Molecule: long non-coding RNA, 496 nt
Filed under: Androctonus crassicauda
Lineage: Eukaryota; Metazoa; Arthropoda; Arachnida; Scorpiones; Buthidae
Source: RNAcentral